This 558-nucleotide ribosomal RNA is filed under the name uncultured bacterium. RNAcentral's name for it is "bacterial SSU rRNA". It matches the Rfam family "Bacterial small subunit ribosomal RNA", at positions 339 to 917 of the family's 1533-position model. The record is from RNAcentral.
CUACGGGAGGCAGCAGUGGGGAAUCUUGCACAAUGGAGGAAACUCUGAUGCAGCGAUGCCGCGUGAGUGAAGAAGGCCCUUGGGUUGUAAAGCUCUUUCGUCGGGGAAGAAAAUGACUGUACCCGAAUAAGAAGGUCCGGCUAACUUCGUGCCAGCAGCCGCGGUAAUACGAAGGGACCUAGCGUAGUUCGGAAUUACUGGGCUUAAAGAGUUCGUAGGUGGUUGAAAAAGUUAGUGGUGAAAUCCCAGAGCUUAACUCUGGAACUGCCAUUAAAACUUUUCAGCUAGAGUAUGAUAGAGGAAAGCAGAAUUUCUAGUGUAGAGGUGAAAUUCGUAGAUAUUAGAAAGAAUACCAAUUGCGAAGGCAGCUUUCUGGAUCAUUACUGACACUGAGGAACGAAAGCAUGGGUAGCGAAGAGGAUUAGAUACCCUCGUAGUCCAUGCCGUAAACGAUGUGUGUUAGACGUUGGAAAUUUAUUUUCAGUGUCGCAGGGAAACCGAUAAACACACCGCCUGGGGAGUACGACCGCAAGGUUAAAACUCAAAGGAAUUGACGGA